GUGGGGAAUCUUCCGCAAUGGACGAAAGUCUGACGGAGCAACGCCGCGUGAGUGAUGAAGGUCUUCGGAUUGUAAAGCUCUGUUAAUCGGGACGAAAGAGCCUAGUGUGAAUAAUGCUAGGAAGUGACGGUACCGGAAUAGAAAGCCACGGCUAACUACGUGCCAGCAGCCGCGGUAAUACGUAGGUGGCAAGCGUUGUCCGGAAUUAUUGGGCGUAAAGCGCGCGCAGGCGGAUCUGUCAGUCUGUCUUAAAAGUUCGGGGCUUAACCCCGUGAUGGGAUGGAAACUACAGAUCUAGAGUAUCGGAGAGGAAAGUGGAAUUCCUAGUGUAGCGGUGAAAUGCGUAGAUAUUAGGAAGAACACCAGUGGCGAAGGCGACUUUCUGGACGAAAACUGACGCUGAGGCGCGAAAGCCAGGGGAGCGAACGGGAUUAGAAACCCUGGGAGUCC
Molecule: ribosomal RNA, 450 nt
Filed under: uncultured bacterium
Lineage: Bacteria
Description: partial 16S ribosomal RNA
Rfam family: Bacterial small subunit ribosomal RNA
Source: RNAcentral